Molecule: ribosomal RNA, 254 nt
Filed under: uncultured bacterium
Lineage: Bacteria
Description: partial 16S ribosomal RNA
Rfam family: Bacterial small subunit ribosomal RNA
Source: RNAcentral
UACGUAGGGGGCAAGCGUUGUCCGGAAUCACUGGGCGUAAAGCGCGUGUAGGCGGCCCGAUAAGUCCGCCGUGAAAGCCCAGGGCUCAACCCUGGGAUGCCGGUGGAAACUGUCGGGCUAGAGUCCGGAAGAGGCGAGUGGAAUUCCUGGUGUAGCGGUGAAAUGCGCAGAUAUCAGGAGGAACACCAAUGGCGAAGGCAGCUCGCUGGGACGGUUACUGACGCUGAGACGCGAAAGCGUGGGGAGCAAACAGG